UGAUAAAAAUUCAUCUAUUUCUAUUGUUAAAAACUAGCAUGGUUAAUAGAAUAACCAAAUAGUGGCAUGUGAUUUGCCAGGUGUACCUCAUGCUGACUUUCAGGGACCAGUUAAAAAUGGAUGGAAUUUUUAACA
Non-coding RNA from Gossypium raimondii (Peruvian cotton), 135 nucleotides. The record is from Rfam. Lineage: Eukaryota; Viridiplantae; Streptophyta; Magnoliopsida; Malvales; Malvaceae.